This 468-nucleotide ribosomal RNA is filed under the name uncultured bacterium. RNAcentral describes it as "partial 16S ribosomal RNA". It matches the Rfam family "Bacterial small subunit ribosomal RNA", at positions 28 to 507 of the family's 1533-position model. The record is from RNAcentral.
GACGGACGCUGGCGGCGUGCUUAACACAUGCAAGUCGAACGGAAAGGCCCUGCUUUUGUGGGGUGCUCGAGUGGCGAACGGGUGAGUAACACGUGAGUAACCUGCCCUUGACUUUGGGAUAACUUCAGGAAACUGGGGCUAAUACCGGAUAGGAGCUCCUGCUGCAUGGUGGGGGUUGGAAAGUUUCGGCGGUUGGGGAUGGACUCGCGGCUUAUCAGCUUGUUGGUGGGGUAGUGGCUUACCAAGGCUUUGACGGGUAGCCGGCCUGAGAGGGUGGCCGGCCACAUUGGGACUGAGAUACGGCCCAGACUCCUACGGGAGGCAGCAGUGGGGAAUAUUGCACAAUGGGCGGAAGCCUGAUGCAGCAACGCCGCGUGCGGGAUGACGGCCUUCGGGUUGUAAACCGCUUUCGCCUGUGACGAAGCGUGAGUGACGGUAAUGGGUAAAGAAGCACCGGCUAACUACGUG